Long non-coding RNA from Oreochromis niloticus (Nile tilapia), 889 nucleotides. RefSeq lists it as uncharacterized. The transcript has 2 exons. The record is from RefSeq and is a predicted model, not a curated record. Lineage: Eukaryota; Metazoa; Chordata; Actinopteri; Cichliformes; Cichlidae.
AAUUUGACCGUCAUGCAGUUUUGUGACAACUUUGGAUUAAUAGCCUAAAGAUACCUUAGCUCAGUUCAAGCUUAUCAAAAUCUCAACAACAGUUGCUUUAAAUUGCUUUAUAGUGGAAGGUAAAGCUCACACAGUGUUAAGAGAGAAAACCCCUACAGUCAGGUGAGCCUCAAGAGGAGGGACUAGGUAACAGCAGGAAGGAAAAACGCAGUCAGAAAUACACUUUGUCAAGGCAGCCAUCCAGUUGGAGGUGGAGUGAAAGAGAAAGUAAAAAGAAGUGUGUAAGUGAGACGGGCAGUACCGCAGGCAGUCUCCCAGCAGCCUGAGCCUAUACCAGCGCAAUAAAUGGAUGCCCAAGGAUCACUUGCACUAUUUCUGUAUUCUAAAUCCAAACUGGGAGCUGUUUCCACAGGAGAAGGGCCGGAUAGCUGAAGGCUCUGCGGCCCACUUUACUUUUAGAAACUCCAGGAGCCACAAGUAAGCCAGUAGCCUGAGUGUGAAGUGCUGGACAAGAUUAAUAUGAUACUAUAAGGUCUUUAAGAUAUGAUGGGGCCUGAUUAUUCAAGACUUUAUAUGUAACUUAAAUUCUAAAUUCUUUAAUAGGGAGCCAAUGAAGCCAAUAUGUGGGAAAUAUCAGCUCUUGUUCUCAUCCCUGUUAAUACUUCUGUUGAAGCAUUUUGUAUUAGUUUGAGACUUUUCAGGGAACAUUUAGAAAAACCAGAUAAUAAUAAAUUACAGCAGUCUAGUUUAUGAAUAAUAAAAGCAUGAACUAGUUUUUUAGCAUCACUCUGAGAUGGGGUGUUUUCUAAUUUUAGUGACAUUACAUAGGUGAAAGAAAGCAGUCCUAGAUAUUUGUUUAAUGGGCACAUUGAAGGACACGUCCUGAUCA